UCAGAUCCACACUCUCCUCGUUUUAGUCCUCCGCUACGAGCUCUCCAACCUCCACUGCACCAUCAAGCUCCUCCAGCACUGCAUCCAUGCCCUCCGCCUCUCUAACAAGCUCGGCGACCACAUGGCCACCCUCGACCCCGAAAAACUCGAUUUUGCCAAGGCUGCUCAGCUCCACUUCGGGAUUCUCAGUCUUUGCGACAAAGACUAAAAAAAAAUCAAACAAUCCAACCAACACGGUGUGCCUCUACACCAUCAUUGCUUUUGGUGUCGUUUGGAGGAGGAGGAUUUUCAGAUCUGAAUCGCAAGGGAGCAGAUCUCUAGUGUCCGAAGUCAUCGGCCUUGUUCAUGAAGAGGCACAAACCGCACUUCCCUUGCUAGUCGAUUUCGUCGAUGAUCGUGUGAGUGUCAUGAAGGUAAGGAUGGAGGAUUUGGUGCUUUUAUGAUCUUGAGAACAAAGGUUUCAGUCUGGUUAAACCAUAAGAGUGUCACUGUGGUGCUGGAUAUGUAGACCAUUUUGGGUGGAAGUGGGUAUGGUCCUAGAAUGUUCCCAUGCCCCUCAACAUCAACUCCCUCGUCAACAAGUGUGACUCUUUCCCCGUCCUCCGCCGUUGCGUCUUUGACUCCUACACCCCUCUGGUGCCAACACUGGAGCCGGAGCAAUCCCUGCCAUCAGAGAGAGGCUUUUGGGUUCCUCCCUUACUGCCGAGAUUCCGACGAAGCAUGUUAGAUCUCUUUGUUCCUUCACCAGAUAAGACUUUGUCCUGUUUGAGCUCUAAAGAAACCGUCGCACCUGAUUCCGUGGCUGAAAAGGAUGAAGUUGCUGAAAAAACAACACAGACAAGCUCUUCUUCUUGAUAAUUUCUUGGGUGUUGAUGGGCUUGCCCCUGGGCAUUCACUUCAUGAUAGAAAACCUGUUACCUACGCUUUAGGUAAGAAGUUUUAUCAUAGUUUGUAUUUUGUUUUCAUAGCAGGAGUUGGCCUCUUCAUUUUCCUCAUUUUUUUUUGUCUUUUUUGCAUGGACUACAGGAGUAUAUUAGACAGUUCACUUUUUUUGCAGUUGAUUGUUGUGGGUAUGUUAGGGCCCUAGGUACCUUCUGGGGCAAGUAGCAUGUAUAACCAAUAUCUAUUUCAUUCUUUGGAAAUGUUUGGUUUUAGCAUAACUAAAAAGUUUUCCCCAUGGACCUGGGGGGCUUCUGAUUGAGAAGUACAAGGAUAAUUUAGUGGGACUUUUUGAUAGUUGACUUUGGGUUUUUGGAUCAUUCAUUGAGUUGUUGGAUCUAAUAAAUGUUUCAUUGGAUUUUGCAUAGAUACCAUGCGCCCCCCAUACAACCAUAUUUGUAAUUGUACUGUCCUAUACAUUGAUAGUGAUGAACAGUGGUAACAAAAUCUGGACAUGGGUAAGUUGUUGUUUUGGAUUGUUUGAUUUUUUUAGGGUUGCUGAUCUGAGAUGAGGAUGAGGAGUAUAACAGAAGAUGGGUUGUUGACAGGAGCAAAAUCUGAGUUGUGGUGGUGGCUCGUGGUGGUUUGACAAAGGUCGAGUAGGGUUCAUGUUCGUUGUGGAUGGUAUUAGUUGUAGUUUCGUAUUCAUCGAUUGGGUCUGAUGGUGUUGUUCAUUGCCUUUGUGAGAAGUUGGUUGUUCAACUACAAUCGCGAACCAACAAGCAUCUAAACAAGUUAUUUUGGUGAUGUGCUGAGUGGAAUGAAGUUAAGAACUAUAGAUUUUGGGUUUGGGAUGAUGAUUAAUUUGAAGAAAUGAUUGAACCAAGACUCUGAAAAUAAUGGUGGCGCGGGAAGUAAUGUGGGUUGUAGAAGUAAUGUGGAUUUGAAUCAUUUGUUGUCACACAAAUGAAGAAGCUAAAGCUGAAGGUUGCAACAAAUGAAGAAUUUGUUUGUAUGAGGAACAAAUCAUGGAGUUGAAGAAGAUGUUGGCUAUAGAAGAACAUCAAACUCAGACAAAUUCUGAAGUUGUUGCUGAACUGAGGAAAAAAAUUGCAAAAUAACAUACCAAGAUUAACACUGAACGAAAGAUGAUCAAGGUUUUAGGAUGCAUUGUAGUGUUCCUUUGGGAUUUAUUGAGUGUUGUUACCAUUGCAUUUGCAAUGCAGUAGUGUUCUAGUAGGUAUGAUAAUGUGGUCUAUAGUGAAGCAUCAACAAUUGUGAUGACAUGCUGUUUUAAAUCCUUAUGAACCUUUUUGUUUUUAGGUCCC
Glycine soja is the source of this 2207-nucleotide long non-coding RNA. RefSeq lists it as uncharacterized. NCBI's taxonomy places the organism in Eukaryota, Viridiplantae, Streptophyta, Magnoliopsida, Fabales, Fabaceae. The transcript has 3 exons. The record is from RefSeq and is a predicted model, not a curated record.